RNAcentral lists this ribosomal RNA (434 nucleotides) under uncultured bacterium. Its description in RNAcentral is "partial 16S ribosomal RNA". It matches the Rfam family "Bacterial small subunit ribosomal RNA", at positions 29 to 507 of the family's 1533-position model. The record is from RNAcentral.
AGCGAACGCUGGCGGCAGGCCUAACACAUGCAAGUCGAACGAACCUUUCGGGGUUAGUGGCGGACGGGUGAGUAACACGUGGGAACGUGCCUUUAGGUUCGGAAUAACUCAGGGAAACUUGUGCUAAUACCGAAUGUGCCCUUCGGGGGAAAGAUUAAUCGCCUUUAGAGCGGCCCGCGUCUGAUUAGCUAGUUGGUUGAGGUAAUGGCUCACCAAGGCGACGAUCAGUAGCUGGUCUGAGAGGAUGAUCAGCCACAUUGGGACUGAGACACGGCCCAAACUCAUACGGGCGGCAGCAGGGGGGAAUCUUGCGAAAUGGGGGAAAGCUUGACGCCCCCAUGCCGCGUAAAGGAAGAAGGUGUUAGAAUUGAAAAAUUCUUUCACCGGGGAGGAUAAUGACGGUACCGGGAAAAGAGCCCCGGGCUAGCUUCGUG